GACGAACGCUGGCGGCGUGCCUAAUACAUGCAAGUUGAGCGCUGAAGGUUGGUACUUGUACCAAUUGGAUGAGCAGCGAACGGGUGAGUAACGCGUGGGGAAUCUGCCUUUGAGCGGGGGACAACAUUUGGAAACGAAUGCUAAUACCGCAUAAAAACUUUAAACACAUGUUUUAAGUUUGAAAGAUGCAAUUGCAUCACUCAAAGAUGAUCCCGCGUUGUAUUAGCUAGUUGGUGAGGUAAAGGCUCACCAAGGCGAUGAUACAUAGCCGACCUGAGAAGGGGAUCGGCCACAUUGGGACUGAGACACGGCCCAAAAUCCUACGGGAGGCAGCAGUAGGGAAUCUUCGGCAAUGGACGAAAGUCUGACCGAGCAACGCCGCGUGAGUGAAGAAGGUUUUCGGAUCGUAAAACUCUGUUGGUAGAGAAGAACGUUGGUGAGAGUGGAAAGCUCAUCAAGUGACGGUAACUACCCAGAAAGGGACGGCUAACUACGUG
This 497-nucleotide ribosomal RNA is filed under the name uncultured bacterium. RNAcentral's name for it is "partial 16S ribosomal RNA". It matches the Rfam family "Bacterial small subunit ribosomal RNA", at positions 28 to 507 of the family's 1533-position model. The record is from RNAcentral.